Molecule: non-coding RNA, 27 nt
Filed under: Rattus norvegicus (Norway rat)
Lineage: Eukaryota; Metazoa; Chordata; Mammalia; Rodentia; Muridae
Source: RNAcentral
UGCACAUGGUCACUUCUCAUCCACGGU